RNAcentral lists this ribosomal RNA (465 nucleotides) under Vreelandella stevensii. Its description in RNAcentral is "partial 16S ribosomal RNA". It matches the Rfam family "Bacterial small subunit ribosomal RNA", at positions 338 to 795 of the family's 1533-position model. The record is from RNAcentral. Lineage: Bacteria; Pseudomonadati; Pseudomonadota; Gammaproteobacteria; Oceanospirillales; Halomonadaceae.
CCUACGGGAGGCUGCAGUGGGGAAUAUUGGACAAUGGGGGCAACCCUGAUCCAGCCAUGCCGCGUGUGUGAAGAAGGCCCUCGGGUUGUAAAGCACUUUCAGUGAGGAAGAACGCCUGGUGGUUAAUACCCAUCAGGAAAGACAUCACUCACAGAAGAAGCACCGGCUAACUCCGUGCCAGCAGCCGCGGUAAUACGGAGGGUGCGAGCGUUAAUCGGAAUUACUGGGCGUAAAGCGCGCGUAGGUGGCUUGAUAAGCCGGUUGUGAAAGCCCCGGGCUCAACCUGGGAACGGCAUCCGGAACUGUCCAGCUAGAGUGCAGGAGAGGAAGGUAGAAUUCCCGGUGUAGCGGUGAAAUGCGUAGAGAUCGGGAGGAAUACCAGUGGUGAAGGCGGCCUUCUGGACUGACACUGACACUGAGGUGCGAAAGCGUGGGUAGCAAACAGGAUUAGAUACCCUAGUAGUC